RNAcentral lists this unclassified non-coding RNA (319 nucleotides) under Hevea brasiliensis (rubber tree). Lineage: Eukaryota; Viridiplantae; Streptophyta; Magnoliopsida; Malpighiales; Euphorbiaceae. The record is from RNAcentral.
AUUAGUUAGUUCUCUCAGUCUAUUUUAGACAUAACCCAACAGAUUUACUACUUUAACUACUACAUCACAAAAGGUGUUUUCAACUACAAUAGGCUAUAAUCCAUUCCUCUUGGAUUAUACCCUUUCUCCACCUUAGGUCAAAGCCUCUUUCCAUUCACAGGAUUGCAAUGGGCAAGAACUCCUCAUCAAUAGACAAAGAUAAAUCCUCAGCAAUUGGCGAAGCCAAUCACUCCAUGGGCUGAAAGCUACUUUAUUCAAUGGACGAAGACACUCUCCAUGGGUAAAGCCAAAUAACAUUUCUACUAUUCUCGUAUUUAUA